Molecule: ribosomal RNA, 589 nt
Filed under: Pasteurella multocida
Lineage: Bacteria; Pseudomonadati; Pseudomonadota; Gammaproteobacteria; Pasteurellales; Pasteurellaceae
Description: bacterial SSU rRNA
Rfam family: Bacterial small subunit ribosomal RNA
Source: RNAcentral
GUAAUGCUUGGGAAUCUGGCUUAUGGAGGGGGAUAACUGUGGGAAACUGCAGCUAAUACCGCGUAUUCUCUGAGGAGGAAAGGGUGGGACCUUAGGGCCACCUGCCAUAAGAUGAGCCCAAGUGGGAUUAGGUAGUUGGUGGGGUAAAGGCCUACCAAGCCUGCGAUCUCUAGCUGGUCUGAGAGGAUGACCAGCCACACUGGAACUGAGACACGGUCCAGACUCCUACGGGAGGCAGCAGUGGGGAAUAUUGCGCAAUGGGGGGAACCCUGACGCAGCCAUGCCGCGUGAAUGAAGAAGGCCUUCGGGUUGUAAAGUUCUUUCGGUAAUGAGGAAGGGAUGUUGUUAAAUAGAUAGCAUCAUUGACGUUAAUUACAGAAGAAGCACCGGCUAACUCCGUGCCAGCAGCCGCGGUAAUACGGAGGGUGCGAGCGUUAAUCGGAAUAACUGGGCGUAAAGGGCACGCAGGCGGACUUUUAAGUGAGAUGUGAAAUCCCCGAGCUUAACUUGGGAACUGCAUUUCAGACUGGGAGUCUAGAGUACUUUAGGGAGGGGUAGAAUUCCACGUGUAGCGGUGAAAUGCGUAGAG